Molecule: ribosomal RNA, 279 nt
Filed under: uncultured bacterium
Lineage: Bacteria
Description: partial 16S ribosomal RNA
Rfam family: Bacterial small subunit ribosomal RNA
Source: RNAcentral
UGCCAGCAGCCGCGGUAAGACGUAGGGUGCAAGCGUUGUCCGGAUUUAUUGGGUUUAAAGGGUGCGUAGGCGGAAGCUUAAGUCUUGGGUGAAAUCCCACCGCUCAACGGUGGAACUGCCUGAGAAACUGGGUUUCUUGAGUAUAGUUGAGGUAGCUGGAAUUGGUGGUGUAGCGGUGAAAUGCAUAGAUACCACCAGGAACACCUAUUGCGAAGGCAAGUUACUAAGCUAUAACUGACGCUGAGGCACGAAAGCGUGGGGAGCGAACAGGAUUAGAUA